UCCUCUCGGUCCCAUAUUGAACUCGAGUUGGAAGAGGCGAGUCCGGUCUCAAA
Molecule: microRNA precursor, 53 nt
Filed under: Rattus norvegicus (Norway rat)
Lineage: Eukaryota; Metazoa; Chordata; Mammalia; Rodentia; Muridae
Description: miRNA (ENSRNOG00000064064.2)
Source: RNAcentral